Molecule: ribosomal RNA, 362 nt
Filed under: Bacillus sp. MBGLi97
Lineage: Bacteria; Bacillati; Bacillota; Bacilli; Caryophanales; Bacillaceae
Description: bacterial SSU rRNA
Rfam family: Bacterial small subunit ribosomal RNA
Source: RNAcentral
UUUAUCGGAGAGUUUGAUCCUGGCUCAGGACGAACGCUGGCGGCGUGCCUAAUACAUGCAAGUCGAGCGGACAGAUGGGAGCUUGCUCCCUGAUGUUAGCGGCGGACGGGUGAGUAACACGUGGGUAACCUGCCUGUAAGACUGGGAUAACUCCGGGAAACCGGGGCUAAUACCGGAUGGUUGUUUGAACCGCAUGGUUCAAACAUAAAAGGUGGCUUCGGCUACCACUUACAGAUGGACCCGCGGCGCAUUAGCUAGUUGGUGAGGUAACGGCUCACCAAGGCGACGAUGCGUAGCCGACCUGAGAGGGUGAUCGGCCACACUGGGACUGAGACACGGCCCAGACUCCUACGGGAGGCAGC